RNAcentral lists this ribosomal RNA (457 nucleotides) under uncultured bacterium. RNAcentral describes it as "partial 16S ribosomal RNA". It matches the Rfam family "Bacterial small subunit ribosomal RNA", at positions 338 to 795 of the family's 1533-position model. The record is from RNAcentral.
CCUACGGGAGGCAGCAGUGGGGAAUAUUGCACAAUGGGGGAGACUCUGAUGCAGCGACGCAGCGUGAGUGAAGAAGUAUUUCGGUAUGUAAAGCUCUAUCAGUAAGGGAGAAAUAAAGUCCUUGGGACUUUGGACGGUACUUGACUAAGAAGACCCGGCUAACAACGUGCCAGCAGCAGCGGUAAUACGUAGGGGGCAAGGGUUAUUCGGAUUUACUGGGUGUAAAGGGAGCGUAGACGGCAGGUCAAGUCUGGAGUGAAAUCUCAUGGCUUAACCAUGGAACUGCUUUGGAAACUGUGCAGCUGGAGUACAGUAGAGGUAAGCGGAAUUCCUGGUGUAGCGGUGAAAUGCGUAGAUAUUAGGAGGAACACCAGUGGCGAAGGCGGCUUACUAAACUGUAACUGACAUUGAUGCUCGAAAGCGUGGGUAGCAAACAGGAUUAGAUACCCCAGUAGUC